CUUCUAGAAUCUCAUUCUUUUCCUGAUUUUCAGUUCUUCCCUCUUUUCAAAACCAUGAUUGUAUAUGACAUAGAAGUCAAAAUUGCUUUCAAAAGGUCUGUGUAAAUUGAGAAUCGAAAUAUUCUUAUGGACAAGAAUGUAUAUGGGGUUCAGUAAAAGUAGUUGUUUUAUUUUUUAUUUUUAAUAAUGUUAGAGUCGAUUUCGGUACGAUAUAAUAUCAACCUCCUCCUAAAUGUUGUGAUUGGAAUUAAAUUUUGUAUGUGGGGACUUGUAUUGAACUAAGCUUAACUUGUUUUAACUAAUUUUAUCUAGAAUUUGCGAUGGAAAUUGUUUUCCCUUCAGUUUAUAAAGCUUGUCAAUUGGAAGAAGGCUUUUACUGGAUAUGGGUUAACAUAGUUUACGUAAUACGUAGCUGUUUAUUCUGUUUUUAUGUACGUACUUUAUUUUACUAUGCGUCUUGCGCACUUUAAUGGUAAUUGUAGUGCUAACUUUCUAUAACUUGUUGGGUCUUUUUGCCUAUACGGAUAUGUUUUGGUUUUAGCAUUUAGUGCGUUCCACAUGUUGUCUUAUCCUCUCAAAUCAAAAUCAAACAAGUUUUUGCUUAUUUGGUUUGCCUGCUCAUGCAUUCCUUUUGUCCUCGAGGACGCAUGGAGGCUGGAUUAGGAAUUGUGCCUAACUUUAUGGGGACAGUCAUGAAGAUGAAUCAGCACAGAGUGCAAUUUCCACCACCCAGUGGCACAGCUUGGGGGCAAGGAGGAUCCACCCUUCCCCCUUCCAACCCAGUCUAGCUUCGACCCUGCCUCAUAGAAAACUAUUUCUUCUUUCAUAAAAAAAGACGAGAUUAAGAUUUUGAGUGGUGAGUUCUAGUACAAUGAAAGCUGAGACCUAUAUCUAUAGUUUUUGGUUUUUGUUUUUCAUCUUAGUUCUUCUCCAACUUGAAGAGUACGGAGGUUUUUUUUUGUAGUUUUAGAGGUGAUUGCCAAAAUUGAUAGCUAGGGGAGUGAAAGUAAUUUAAGUGGUAGUUUGAAGAGGAUUUGUGCAUUUUUCCCUUUACUUUUUAAAAGCUUGAGGGAACUUCUCUCUAAUUUUUAUCCUUAAGUUACUGAUAAAAAAAAAUUUUAUCUUAAGUUGUAUUCAUCGAGUUUUGGGCGAAAAAAUUUUAGUUUUUAUAUGACAAGGAACUACAGACUUUGCAAAUGAAAUAUGCCUUUUACUUGUUUAAACCCAAACCUGCGCAAUGUGUCCCGACCAACGAGAUGCGGCUGCUAGAAACUGUUUGCACCCAAGGGUUUGAAUCUUCGACUUGGGAAGAGCAUACCUUUAAAACCAAGGCCCUUAUCACUCGAGCAAACCCGCAGGGGUUAAGUUUUCUGCGAAAAAAACUUGAUACUCCAUCGUGCUUUUGUUUUGUUAUGGUGGACUUACUUGGAUUGCUUGAUUCCGUGUGUAUGUGCUUCAAGGUUGGGGGCGAUAUGGGUGGUUUACAUGUGGUUUGUGCCAACCUUUGUACCACUUUGUUUCACUGUGGUCUGCUCUCUUCUUUGUUUGUUUACCUCUUUGAAUCCCCAAGGGCAGAAUUUCUCAAGCUUGGAAACUAGGUAGUUCUGUUGCUUUGCCACUUGCCAUCCUUUCUUUCAUCUUUCUUGGAUCCUUAAUUUCCUUUAUUUACACAACUGAUUUGUAUGUGGUCCAACAACUAUACAGAUAUAAAUCUGAAUGCAAAAACUGACACUGGCUAAAUUGCUUUAUGAAGAACUCUCUAAGAAAAAGAGACUGCUAUUGCUGCAUUCCAGUUAGUACGGGACUUCCCCUUUUAUCUUUUGACCAUGGUUUAUUGGAAUAUAAUGUUUCAUAUUGUGAAUAAUCAAUGAUCGGUGAAACGCUUCAAUCUGUACCAGUUUUCAAGGUGGCAAAUCAUCUGCAAUAGUACUUGUGUUGAAGCUCUUUGGGCAUGUGCAAGAGAUGUGGCAAUCUGAAGAUGAUAGCAUGCACAAAAUGUAAAGGAGUAGGAGUUGUCAGAGGUGGACCAUUUGGGUUUAAUCUUGACCAUGAAUUGUACCAAUUGCUUGGAAGUGGUGGGUCAA
This is an RNA transcript of Carya illinoinensis, 2084 nucleotides long. RefSeq lists it as uncharacterized. The record is from RefSeq and is a predicted model, not a curated record. Lineage: Eukaryota; Viridiplantae; Streptophyta; Magnoliopsida; Fagales; Juglandaceae. The transcript has 3 exons.